UUUGAUCCUGGCUCAGGAUGAACGCUAGCUACAGGCUUAACACAUGCAAGUCGAGGGGCAUCGGGGUGUAGCAAUACGCCGCCGGCGACCGGCGAAUGGGUGAGUAACGCGUAUCCAACCUGGCCCGUGCUCAUGGAUAGCCCUUAGAAAUGAGGAUUAAUACAUGAUGGCCUCCGCAGAUCGCAUGAGAGGCGGAGUAAAGAUUCAUCGGCACGGGAUGGGGAUGCGUUCCAUUAGAUAGUUGGCGGGGUAACGGCCCACCAAGUCAUUGAUGGAUAGGGGUUCUGAGAGGAAGGUCCCCCACAUUGGUACUGAGACACGGACCAAACUCCUACGGGAGGCAGCAGUGAGGAAUAUUGGUCAAUGGGCGGAAGCCUGAACCAGCCAAGUAGCGUGAAGGAUGACGGCCCUACGGGUUGUAAACUUCUUUUCCGGGGAAUAACAAUCGCCACGUGUGGCGUCCUGCAUGUACCCGGUGAAUAAGGACCGGCUAAUUCCGUGCC
Molecule: ribosomal RNA, 503 nt
Filed under: uncultured bacterium
Lineage: Bacteria
Description: bacterial SSU rRNA
Rfam family: Bacterial small subunit ribosomal RNA
Source: RNAcentral